UGGCGGCCCAGCUGCAGUGCAACAAACGCUCCUUCUCGGACCAGCCCAAAGUCACGGUACUGCCCCCUCCACAACCUUGAGUGUGAUGGUCCCAAUGGGGUAGAGCCGGCUGGACCAUCAGCCAGGGUGUGGGAGAGUGAGGCUCCAGAGGGCAGGGGUUUUGGGGGUAGGGUCCCCCAGGGUGCAGGCUUGGCCUCAAGAUGGCCGCCCAGACUUAGGCUCACAAAGACCUGGGUGUGACCCUGGUCUCCUGUGUCCCAGCCCUGGCCCCUGGGCGCAGACCCCCAGUCCCGAGAUGCCCGCCAGCAACGCUUCGCCCACUUCACGGAGCUGGCCAUCAUCUCAGUCCAGGAGAUCGUGGACUUCGCCAAGCAAGUGCCUGGUUUCCUGCAGCUGGGCCGGGAGGACCAGAUCGCCCUCCUGAAGGCAUCCACUAUCGAGAUUAUGCUGCUGGAGACAGCCAGGCGCUACAACCACGAGACAGAGUGUAUCACCUUCUUGAAGGACUUCACCUACAGCAAGGACGACUUCCACCGUGCAGGCCUGCAGGUGGAGUUCAUCAACCCCAUCUUCGAGUUCUCGCGGGCCAUGCGGCGGCUGGGCCUGGACGACGCUGAGUACGCCCUGCUCAUCGCCAUCAACAUCUUCUCGGCCGACCGGCCCAACGUGCAGGAGCCGGGCCGCGUGGAGGCGCUGCAGCAGCCCUACGUGGAGGCGCUGCUGUCCUACACGCGCAUCAAGAGGCCGCAGGUAGGGCCCCGCAGAGCCUCUGCGCAGAGCCAGCUACGCCCCGCGGCCCACGUGGUCCGUCCAGGCUGGGCUCCGCCAGCCGCACUGCCGUCUCCUCCGCAGUCUUUCCUCAGGCCCCACCC
Molecule: small RNA, 872 nt
Filed under: Pongo abelii (Sumatran orangutan)
Lineage: Eukaryota; Metazoa; Chordata; Mammalia; Primates; Hominidae
Description: retained intron
Source: RNAcentral